GUUAGGAAUCUUCCACAAUGGGGGCAACCCUGAUGGAGCAACACCGCGUGCUGGAUGAAGGCCUUCGGGUCGUAAACAGCUUUUGUAUACGAAGAAUAUGACGGUAAUAUACGAAUAAGGGUCGGCUAACUACGUGCCAGCAGCCGCGGUCAUACGUAGGACCCAAGCGUUAUCCGGAGUGACUGGGCGUAAAGAGUGGCGUAGGCGGCUUAUUAAGCGAGUAGUGAAAUCUGGUGGCUCAACCAUCAACACAUUGCUCGAACUGAUAGGCUUGAGAAUGGUAGAGGUAGUUGGAAUUUCUUGUGUAGGAGUGAAAUCCGUAGAUAUAAGAAGGAACACCAAUGGCGUAGGCAGACUACUGGACCAUUUCUGACGCUGAGGCACGAAAGCGUGGGGAGCGAACCGGAUUAGAAACCCUGGUAGUCC
This 426-nucleotide ribosomal RNA is filed under the name uncultured bacterium. RNAcentral describes it as "partial 16S ribosomal RNA". It matches the Rfam family "Bacterial small subunit ribosomal RNA", at positions 354 to 796 of the family's 1533-position model. The record is from RNAcentral.